This 888-nucleotide long non-coding RNA is filed under the name Eucalyptus grandis. RNAcentral's name for it is "long non-coding RNA (EGRA_LNC005771)". Lineage: Eukaryota; Viridiplantae; Streptophyta; Magnoliopsida; Myrtales; Myrtaceae. The record is from RNAcentral.
UCAGCAUCUGCAACCGACCGGCCGGCUCUUCCCCAACCGCGCUGCGCUCGCCUCGCCGCUCAACCCCAGCAGCGGAGCUGUGCCUCACCGCGACCCAGCCGUGCCACUAGUCACUGCCACUUCGCCGGUCGUCCAAGAUCGCCCGGCAUAGAUCCGACCAUCCGACGCCCCUGCUGCCGUGCCUCCUGCUGCCCUCCGCCCGAAGCUCCACCGCUGCAACCUGCGAGAUCUCGCACCGCCGCUCCACACCUCUGCCGGUAACCGUGCCUCCGCUAGUUUUCCCCUGCCGAUCCGCUGUAGCCCGACGUCGCUGCUCCUGCCUGAACCACGACUAGCCGCGACCGCCGCAUCUGCCAACCGAGCCCUCCGCCCGAGCGACGAGCCGCUACCCCUGAUCCGAGCCUGCUGCUGUCCUCGCUGCGCCAUCAGCUACUGCCCCAGCGAUCCCCUGUUUUGUUGCAGGUCUACCUUCGCCGGACCUCGCCAGAGCUCCGACGACCGUGCCCAUCACCCUCACCGGAGCCCUUGGGUGACCUACCACCGCAGCCGCUGCCCUUGCACCGUCCCUAGCCGUGCCGAGCCUCCAUCGUGAUCCACCUCACCGUUUGGGUCUUUGAAAAAAAAUUCAAUUUAGGUAGAGAUUUUUAUUUUAUUUUUUUAGGUGGACUUAUUUUAUUAGGUAGAUUUACUUUAUCUUAUUUUACUUUUGAUGUUUUAUUUCUUUGUUUGAUUAAUUUUCUAAUGCAUGAUCGAAAUUCCCUGAUGUAGCAUUCAAAUCGCAACCACACGAAUUUUUAUUCUAUCUGUAAAGUUUUAGAUGGAAUAAUUAUUCGCGGGAAUAAAAUUGAUAUAUUUAAAGUUUAAGGUCAAUUUAUCGAUAUCUUUAAG